UCCUUUGACCUUUCUGUUUACUGCUGUGUAUUUGGUAAUGGUAAACCUGUCUUCAUACUGUUUUGUUAGGGAGAUCCAGGAGAACCAGGAGAGAGGGGAGAGGAUGGGCGCCCAGGGGUCCCAGGAAAGCCCGGUCUUCCAGGAAAAGAGGGACAGAAUGGAGAAAAGGGUGAUGAAGGCACUCCUGGCGAGUCUGGACUUCCAGGGAAGCCUGGAGAAAGAGGACUGAGGGGAUUGACUGGUCAGCCGGGACGACUAGGAGAAAAAGGAGACAUGGGAGACCCUGGAGAGCACGGACGAAAUGUGAGGCAUACAUUUAUGUAUCCUCGUACAGACAGCUUUUCAAUAUCCUCUCGCACUAUUCUGCACUAUUAUUGGGGCCUUGAGAGGGGGGGAA
This is a long non-coding RNA of Parambassis ranga (Indian glassy fish), 397 nucleotides long. NCBI's taxonomy places the organism in Eukaryota, Metazoa, Chordata, Actinopteri, Ambassidae. The record is from Ensembl.